RNAcentral lists this ribosomal RNA (328 nucleotides) under uncultured eukaryote. RNAcentral describes it as "partial 18S ribosomal RNA". It matches the Rfam family "Eukaryotic small subunit ribosomal RNA", at positions 1470 to 1796 of the family's 1831-position model. The record is from RNAcentral.
CCCUUAGAUGUCCUGGGCCGCACGCGCGUUACACUGAUGCAUUCAACGAGCUUAUAACCUUGGCCGAGAGGCCUGGGCAAUCUUGUUAACGUGCAUCGUGAUAGGGAUAGAUUAUUGAAAUUAUUAAUCUUGAACGAGGAAUUCCUAGUAAACGCAGAUCAUCAAUCUGCAUUGAUUACGUCCCUGCCCUUUGUACACACCGCCCGUCGCACCUACCGAUUGGAUGGUCCGGUGAAGCCUCGGGAUUGUGGUUCUUGCCGCUUUAUUGUGGCGUGACCGCGAGAACUUGUCUAAACCUGAUCAUCUAGAGGAAGGUGAAGUCGGAACA